RNAcentral lists this unclassified non-coding RNA (651 nucleotides) under Dalbergia sandakanensis. RNAcentral's name for it is "partial contains 18S rRNA, ITS1, 5.8S rRNA and ITS2". The stretch from base 261 to 416 matches the Rfam family "5.8S ribosomal RNA". Lineage: Eukaryota; Viridiplantae; Streptophyta; Magnoliopsida; Fabales; Fabaceae. The record is from RNAcentral.
AAGGAUCAUUGUCGUUGCCUCAAUCCAGAGAGACCCGCGGACCCGUUUUACUACUCGGGACAGUCGAAGCUGCCCAGCAGCCCGUCUUCCCCAAAUGUCGGGACGGAGCGGCGGAGCCAAGCUCUGCGGUAUCCCGUCCCGGCGCAAUAACAACAAACCCCGGCGCGGAAUGCGCCAAGGAAGCAACAACUGUACAGCGCGCCCCGUCGACCCGGUAACGGUGCUCGUACUGGGGAGGUCGCAACACUCGAGUCCAAAACGACUCUCGGCAACGGAUAUCUCGGCUCUUGCAUCGAUGAAGAACGCAGCGAAAUGCGAUACUUGGUGUGAAUUGCAGAAUCCCGUGAACCAUCGAGUCUUUGAACGCAAGUUGCGCCCGAAGCCAUUAGGCUAAGGGCACGCCUGCCUGGGUGUCACUAAUCGCUGCCCCAACCCCUGUGCCUCUGGCCACGGAGCGGGGUGAAUGCUGGCUUCCCGUGAGCAUCGCCUUGCGGUUGGUUGAAAAUCGGGUUCGUGGUGGAUGCAGUGCCAUGACAGAUGGUGGGUGAGCAUGUUCUCGAGGCCAGUCAUGCGCGCGACCUCCACCGGCUCCGUACCCAGUGACCCGCGAGCGAUGUCGAUCGCCCAUCAAGACGCGACCUCAGGUCAGGC